RNAcentral lists this long non-coding RNA (1866 nucleotides) under Mytilus galloprovincialis (Mediterranean mussel). Lineage: Eukaryota; Metazoa; Mollusca; Bivalvia; Mytilida; Mytilidae. The record is from RNAcentral.
ACAAAAAGCUAACAUGACGAGAUCUAUCUUAUUAUUAGCGUUCGUAUGUUCGUUAUUCAUAACGUACACAGAGGGUGAGUCUUAUUUUUCCAUUGCUUUUCUCUUCGAAUCUGUAUAGAAAUUGGACAGUUUCUCUUUCUAAUUGAUACGAUCCAAAUACAAGGGGCGUCAAGGGAAGAAUGGAAUCAAUUUUUAAUACGGAUGAAAUGGGUACGUUAAAUCCGAUUUCCAAGAGAGUGCCAUUGUAAGUGAUAUUGAUAUUUUCAUUUUCUCAAUUCAGGACGACCGACUUUGCAGUAUCAACUUGCAUGAUGCAUGUCGAAUACGAUUGAAAUGGAUACAUUAAAUCCGAUAUCCAAGAGAAUGCCGCACCAUGACUCUAUCUGUAUGUUAACAACUCGCAAUAUUCGUUGAGGGCUCCGUAUGUGACUUGUUGCAUGUUAAUUUUUUCACCCUAUGAUGGCCAAUAUGACUUCUAUUUCCAGUAGGAGUACGCUUUUAUUAACCAACUGUUCUUUUUUUAAACAUUCAUGAAAUACUUGUCACUAGACGUUUUAAAGAAUAAAAAAAUCACUCAUUAUUAUGUAAACCUCUAACUAAUUUUUUUUAAUUAUAUGAUAAGUAUAUGAUAAACCAGUAUUUUGGUGUCAUUUUAGUAUAAGUAUGGGAUUGUUGUACUUUAACUUUUGAUACUGUCGAAUUUACUAUACAGUCCUAUAUUUGGUUUUGAGCAUCACUGAAAUAAGAAAAAACAAAAACAUGCGAGCUAUCUUUGAUACUGUGUUUGUUAUAAUUGUUUUGUUUUGUUUGUACUUUCCACAUAUCUAUAAUUAUAUAUUAUAAUAGACCUAACUCGUAUACCUAGCUGAUAGUCCAUUCCAAGAGGGUUCGAGAUAAAGUUUUCACCUCGUCACAAGUCAAUGUGCUUAUCCCAAGUCAGGAACUACUUCAGAGUACUAAUAUGUCUUUUAUCAUAUUUCAAAUAUAUUUGAUAUUGGAAUCGGCUUUAAAAAAUACUUACGACAAAGAUUGGUCGUAAGUCAUGAACAAAUCAGUAUACUUACGAUCAAUCUUAGUCGUAAGUUGUUUUGUUAAACCGACUCGUGGUAUUCAGAAACAUGAUAGUGAUGGCAUAUCUAUGGCAUUAUAUGUACGAUUUGGUGCUCGACUUGUUAUAUUGACCUUUCUAUUGUUGAAGAUUGAACGUUGACCUUUUUUUUAUCUCAGGUUUGGAUUUUGCGUUGUCUAAUCGACAUAUACUCCAUAUCUCCUUUAUUCAAAACGAUAUGUUAUGCACCAAAGAAGCUACAUAAUCUUGUUGUUUUUGAUUAUGCUCAUUCUGUGAUCAUCAGUGUUGUAAACGAUAAUUUCCGGCUUAUAUGAUCAAAUUUACUCCAUGUAUAAUGUAACAAUAGAACAUUGUGUAUUUCAUUAAUUAAUGCAGUAUUAUCACAGGCACUUGUAUCAGAAAUUUGUUAUAUUAAGGUACAUUGUAUUUUUUUUCUGAGACAAGUGCCUGUGAGUAUUAUACAUGUAUACAGAAAACUUUAGCCAUAUGUGCUGUAUUAUUAAUAAAUAUAAUGCAUUAAUAUAAACUACAUUUUUAUUAUUUUUUAGCGUGUUGUAUUUGUGUAACGGAACCUUGUAACUGUAGACCUAAGUGUGGAUCAUUUCCAAUUGGCCAUAAGAAGCAAUUUUUUAGCAGAAGUAGAUCCCGAUCAUCAUCUUUGCUGAAUACUCUCAAUGCAAGAUGAAGCAUACACAGUCGAAAAAGGAUGAUAAAGCAGAAAAUAUAAAUUAAACACAUGUUGUUUUGUCAUUAUAAUACUUUGUUUUGUUUAGUUGCAUCAAGGAGGUUCAAGGAGG